Molecule: ribosomal RNA, 237 nt
Filed under: uncultured bacterium
Lineage: Bacteria
Description: partial 16S ribosomal RNA
Rfam family: Bacterial small subunit ribosomal RNA
Source: RNAcentral
GAUCCUGGCUCAGGAUGAACGCUGGCGGCGUGCUUAACACAUGCAAGUCGAGCGAAGCACUUUGCUUUGAUUUCUUCGGGAUGAAGAGCUUAGUGACUGAGCGGGCGGACGGGUGAGGUAGCGCGUGGGUAACCUGCCUCAUACAGGGGGAUAACAGUUAGAAAUGACUGCUAAUACCGCAUAAGGCCACAGCACCGCAUGGUGCGAAGGGUAAAACUCCGGUGGUAUGAGAGUCGG